RNA transcript from Manis pentadactyla (Chinese pangolin), 5902 nucleotides. It is a transcript of the gene named myosin IC heavy chain-like, with no coding region annotated. The transcript has 2 exons. The record is from RefSeq and is a predicted model, not a curated record. NCBI's taxonomy places the organism in Eukaryota, Metazoa, Chordata, Mammalia, Pholidota, Manidae.
CGCCCUCCGGCCCCGCCCCCUGGAGCCGGGCGCGCUGGUCCCGCGGGGAGGGGAAUGGGGCAAGGGCCGCGGGCACUCAGUACGCCCGCCGAACUCGAGGUUCCGGCGGCAACGCGAUCAGGAGAGCAGGAGUGCACGGCCCGCAUGCGUAAGAGGAAAACCUCAAACUCCAGCUGAAGGACAUGCUCCAGAAUACUUGACCAGGACGCCUCCAACUGAAAGGGUCGUGAAAAGCAUGGCAAGAGCAUCAGCACAGACCUGAGGAUGCUGGGAGACAUGCCGAAUGGACGCGAUAUGCUUCCCUGGGCAGGAUCCUGGAACAGAGGGAGCAUUCGUGGAGAAGCUGGUUGGCCCAAAUAAGGUCUGGACUUAGUGAAAGAGAAGUGCCAGCAUUGGUUUUAUAGUUUUGACAAAUAUACUAUGGUGGUGCGAGAAGGUAACGCUAGGGGAAGGUGAGACUAGGUGGCUGGGGUAUGGGAACUCUCUGUACAAUCUUUGCAAUUCUUCUGUAAAUCUUAAAUUAAUUCAAAAAUUAAAAGGUUUAUUUUAAAAUACGUAAUUUCAUGGGCCUUACAGGCGGUGUGUUUUGGUAAUGGGUCUGGAUGUCUUUGUUCAUUUCUACAGGUCUACAUGUAUUCUGGGACUGAAUAUGAUUCCACCUGGAGAAGGCGUCCAAAGUCUAAACUUGGGCUUCUUACGUAUGGAACCCAGGCCAGGUGGCCCUCCUGCCCAACCUCCUCCCUUAGCCACUCUCACCCCCUAUUCAGCUACCUCAGCUCCCCAUCUUCUGAACCUUGAAUGCUCAAUGUUCUGCGCUGUUAGAGCUGGAAAGCCCCAUAGAGACUGGCCCCAAACCUUUGUUUUAUAGAUGGAGAGGCUAAAAGGGGGAAAGAGAUUUGCCCCUGGCCACAUGGUAAGUUUAUGUAGGCAAAGCUGAGAAUGUGUCCAGCCAGGCUUUCUCCCUCUCUGGCCCCAUUUGCCACAGACAUGGGGAUCAGACCCACAUGGGUGCUCUGAAGUAGCAGUGACUUACUUGGGGACUUGAGGAGGGCAAUGCUACCUCGAAGGAAUGAGAGAGUCUGUUGGACAGAGCAGUUGUAAUGAAAGCUUUCUCACUGGCCCCCCAACCAGUGAUUCCCACUUGGUUUUGAAGAUCCAGGCAGAAGUGGGGGGUCUGACGGUAGGCAAAAGGAGGAGUCUGCCUGCCUGCUCCUCCCCCACCCCACAAACCUACCUCAGUGAAGGGGCCAGAGAGAAAUAUGAGGGUGUUCAGAAGAGUUAGGUCUCUAGUUCUGGGGCUGGACAUUUUCUAGUCUAUGCUGGGGAAUACCAACUUUGGAGAGCCCCUUGAAGCUGCCAGAGAGGCCUUCCCUAGGGUCUUGAGAGUAGGGAGCAGGGCUGAGGAGGCUCUGCCAUUGAGCGUGCCGGGGUGGACAUUCAUGCCUUCUGGCCUGGGGGUAGGAGGGGCCUGCCCCUGUCCCUGGGCCCCCACUGUCCCACUCACUAUGUUCCCACUCUGGACUGUGAUAGUUGGAAUACCACUGUCUCCCACCUUACUGUGGCUUCUUGAAGAUGGGUCCCUGGGACUGGGCCGAGCACAGAUGUUGGUAAAUGCUUGGUGAGUCAAUGUGUGGGUGGUUUGGAGUGGUCUGGUUAUGUUUUGCUGUGGACAUUUCUGUUGUGUCCUCUUUGUCAGUCCAGCUCAUAGAUGUCCCCUUGUAUCUGAAAAGUACAGUCAUAGGCCUGGAAAUGCAGGAGCUCAAGGUUCACCUGGUGUCGCCAACUGAGCCACCUGUCAAGAUUCAGAUGGGAGUGGAGAGCUGGAAGCUGGCCACGGAUGAACUUGCAUGUAGGCCAGGUCUAACCACGAUCAGGAGCUCGCUGCUGGCCAGGCCGACGGCAGCUCUGUGAUAAGAGUGGCCACCCACAGAUAGAGUUGUCAUCGCAACCAGUUCACAAGAUCCUGGAGGUCACUAAUGUGCUGCUCACAUGCUGGUCAGAAGUUCUGAUGGACUGUUUGAAGUGUCACUGGCUGAUGCAAGUGCCGCUGGAGGCUUGCUGGCUAUCUUUAUAGCACCCUGAUUCGCUCUCCUAACAGUACUGGGAAUUUCCCAGCCAUGUGAUCUGGUCAGAAAUGACCCCAUUCCAGGGGUGGGGACUAACUGGCUUACCCAAAUCAGAAAAAUCUCAUCCUCCAGGCUAUAGUAAUUGGUCAGGAAGAGGCACAUGACCCAAAUCAGGCCAACCAGGGUCAACGAGUCUCAAUUCCUAGUCUUUUCUUUGAGCCAGCCAGGAAGUAAGCUCUCUGUUCCUUGCCAGUCACAAUGAGAAAAGCAGGUAGUGGCAGGAGCUUCUGGAGGCCACCUUGUGACACAACAUAGGUGGCAGAGCCAAGAGACUAAAUAUAGGUCCUUGGUAACAGCUACUGGAUCAAGCCUUGUCUGAAGCUAUUCCUAGUACUAGACUUUUUGGUUAUGUAAGCCUAUAAAUUCUGUCACUCACAAUCCAGAAUAUCCUUUAUAAUGAUAAUAAUUACUUAAUAAUUAUUAAGUAUAUACAAAUUAUCUAAAAUACAACUUAGGGGAUAAAAUCUUAUAAAAUAUGAGGUCUAUGGGGACAGUUUGGAAUGGUGAAAAGAUCAGCAAACUGCUGAUCUGUUUAAGCUUUGCUAUUUGGCUUAUGGUAAAACUAAGGCCCAGAGAGGUCAUGAGAUUUGCUUGAGGUUUUAUGUAGCUGCUCAGUAUGGCCUCCUGACUCUCAGCCCACUAAUUCUUGAUGUUUAAUAAUAAUAAUUGGAAUGUUUGAAUUGGAAUGUGGCUUGCCCUGUGAAAGCAUCACUGCAUGUUUUUUUUCUCUCUCUCCCUUUUUUUUUCUGUUUUCCUAAAAGGCAGAGAAAGAAUGGCAAUAGUUCUCUUCAUUUUGCAAAGAGGGAGGCAGAAGUCCAGAGAGGCUUUAAGAUUUGACAAGGUCACACAGAAAGGUGGUGAUAGAACUGGUCUUAGAGGUCAAAUGCAUGAACGUCACUUAAGGUUCAGCCCCUCCACCUCACCCCUUGUGCUAAUGACCUCCGCCUCCAUUAGGGCAAAGAUGAGGGGCAUGGUGGGUCCCUUCUUCUGGCCUUCUUUUCAUCUGCAGAGUGAUUAAAGAGGACUUUGUGUUGUACAGGCCAAGGAGAUGAUUAUAGGCCCUGGCAGAUUGUCCUUCUCCAGCCAGCCUUAGGAAAAUUAAGGUUACAAUGCUCAGAGAAAACAUCGGGUUAUUUCUAUUGCCAGAGCCUCCAAAAGGGGGGCCAACCUAGAGACAGGAGGCUGUAUGGAUGAGAUUCUGACUUCACAAUCCACGUGAUCCCCAGCUCUGGCACCUACUGUCCACUGCCCAAAAGCCUACCUUGGUUCCCCAACAUUUUCCGUAGCCGUAGGAUUUAUAUGCACAGCUGCACAGGUGGUGUAGUGCACAAUUUGGAUUAUGAUCUGAAUGGUGACCCCUGUGGUUAUGCAGUUCACAGGUUGUAAAACAAAGCUCAGUGAGACUAGGCUGCGUUUCUCAACAUGUUGGAAUAUUUAGACUGUUUUCACAGCAAUCAGUGACUUUGAAAGCCCUUUAUUGAAUUAAAAAUAUCUUUUUUUGCAAGGUAAAGAAGAUACUUUUAAAAAGUUUAUUUUAGGUCAGUCUUAGCCCAAAGAUUAUAUUAAAAAGCUUAUUGUUACUAAGACUCCUAUUUUUAAAGGUGACUUUUGACCCUUUUCUAUUUAGGAAGUCAUGUCUACUGUUUAAUAGAAUUUAAGUUAAUUUUAUGAGGAAGAGCAAGAUUCGUACACAGGUGAAUUAAUAUUUUGUCAGGCUUGGUUUGGGGACUGAAUGUAUGCUGAAAUUAUCAUUACAGAUUGAAAUUUACAUGCAAUGAAAUUAAAAAAUAGAUAUAUUUGCUUUCAAUACAUGGGAGUUUAGAGUUCUUGCAUCUUUUUCUUCAUUUUUCUGACUCAAUUAUUUUAAAAGCAAAUUUUGUGCUUUGUUUCUGAAUGAAGAGAUAAGAGAGAAGAUACCAUCUCUUCAAAUAACCCAUUUCAGGUAUGAAUAGCUGUUAUUUCCAAAAGAUGAAAAGCUAAAAUGGCUAUAUUUUCUCUUUUGAGUGUGAGUUUUUGAAGUAUUAGAGACAGCUCAAUGUUCCAUAUAAGGUUUUUUUUUGAACAGGUGAUACAUAAACAAUGUAAAAGGUUCAAAAGGUACAGGUGUGUUUACUAUAGAACCCAAAUAUCCUUCCUGUGGUCUUUAAAGUUAUUCAACUCUCCAGGAACAACUGAAGUUAGUAGCUUCUUAUGUAUUUUUCCAGAUAGAACCUAUGAAUCUACAAGCAAAUAUUUGCACAUAUGUUUUCUGCUUUGUUUCUCUUUAUUUUUGUACAAGUGAGGACCUCUAUACAAAACAGUGGCAUCUUGCUUUUCUCACUUCAUAAUAAGCCUUUGAGAUAAUACCAAUUAGGACAUGUUAUGCUGAUUACUGAAGUAUUUUUCAGCUGGAAAAUAUUCCAUUGUGAGGGUGCACCAUAAUUUAUUUAGGCAGUUGCCGACCGCUGAACACUUAGGUUGUUUCUGAUCAUUAGCUAUUACAAACAAUACUGGAGUGUAGAUCCUGCCCUUGUCAUCACUUUGCAACUGCACAAAUACAUAAUUGGAUAAAUUCAACACGCUGGGUCAAAGGGUGUAUUAGUCUGCUGAGACUGCCAUAACAGAGUACGACAAACGGGGUGGUUGAGCAACAGAAAUGUAUUCUCUCAGGGUUCUGGAAGCUGGAAGUCUGAGAUCAAGGUGUGGGAAGGGUUGGCUCCCUUGGAGAGCCAUGAGGGAGAAUCUAUUCCAGGCUUCUCCCAGGGCUUCUUGUGGUUUGCUGGCAAUUUUUAGUGUUCUUUGGCUUGUAGAUGCAUCACCCAGUCUCUGCCUUGAUUUUCACAUGACAUUCUCCCUGUAUGUGUGUGUCUGUGUCCAAAUUUUCCCAUUUUAUAAGGAUGCAGGUCAUAUUGGAUUCAAGGCCCACCCUACUCUAAUAUGAUCUCAUCUUAAUAAUUACUUGCAAUGACCCUACUUUCAAGUCAAGUCACAUGCUGAAGUACUGAAGAGUUAAGACUUCAACUUUGAAUUUUUGGCUGACACAGUUCAAUCCACAGCAAAAGGUAUAUGAGCAUUUACUUUUAGAAAAAUAUUGCUAAAUUGUUCUUCAUAGAAAUUGCACCAUUCCCUUCCCACCAGCAGUGAUGGAAACGGCCUGGGUCACCAUCCUUGUCAGUGCAAUGGGUCACCAGACCUUUUGAUCUUUGCCAGUCUGGUAGAUAAAAAGUGGUAUCUCAUUGAAGUCAAACUUCUAUUUCACUUAUUAUAACUGAGGAUAAGAGGUGUUUUUUUUUUUUUUUUACAUUUAAGACUGAUUUGUAUUUUUUUUGUGAAUAAUUGUUUAUAUUCUUUGACUCGUUGUCUUUUGAAUUGUUGGUCUUUUAUCCUUACUGAUUUGUAGGAACUCUUUAAAGAUAAGGGAAAUUAACUCUUUGUGAUACAUGUCAAAUAUUUUCUUUUCCAAUUAGUUAGUUAUUAUCUGACUUUGUAUUGCAUUUCUUUUUUGUUUACUCAGAAAAAAUUUUCAAUUUUAUGUACAUAAACAGAUCAUUUUCUUUUAUGAUCUGGGGUUUUGUGUGAUGCUUAAGAGGCUUCUCCACUCUUGAGAUUGUGACAAAAAUUCUACUUUUUUCCUAACAUUUAUUAUUUCAUUUUUUAAUGUAUAGUUUUUAAAAAUCUAUUGGAAUUAAUUUUGGCAUAGGUGUAGGGACCCAAUUUAAUUAUCCUGGUGGAUACUUGGUGGUCCCAACAGAAUUCAUCGAUGUGUGAGAACUGUGGUCUGAUGUAAGUGGUGUGUA